Molecule: ribosomal RNA, 465 nt
Filed under: uncultured bacterium
Lineage: Bacteria
Description: bacterial SSU rRNA
Rfam family: Bacterial small subunit ribosomal RNA
Source: RNAcentral
GAUGAACGCUAGCGGCAGGCUUAAUACAUGCAAGUCGAGGGGUAACAGGGGUAGCAAUACCUGCUGACGACCGGCAAACGGGUGCGUAACACGUACAGAACCUUCCUUCGAGUGGGGGAUAGCCCGAAGAAAUUCGGAUUAAUACCUCAUAGUAUUAUCGGGUGGCAUCAUUUGAUAAUUAAAGAUUUAUUGCUUGAAGAUGGCUGUGCGUAUGAUUAGGUAGUUGGUUGAGGUAACGGCUCACCAAGCCUUCGAUCAUUAACCGGUGUGAGAGCACGACCGGUCACACGGGCACUGAGACACGGGCCCGACUCCUACGGGAGGCAGCAGUAAGGAAUAUUGGUCAAUGGACGCAAGUCUGAACCAGCCAUGCCGCGUGAAGGAUUAAGGCCCUCUGGGUUAGUAAACUUUCUUUUAUGUGGGAAGAAAUGCAUUCUUUUCUAAGGUGUUUGACGGUACCAUAGG